RNAcentral lists this long non-coding RNA (1513 nucleotides) under Camarhynchus parvulus. RNAcentral's name for it is "lncRNA (ENSCPVG00000008577.2)". Lineage: Eukaryota; Metazoa; Chordata; Aves; Passeriformes; Thraupidae. The record is from RNAcentral.
GUUGAAGGCAGAAAUACUUCUAGAGAAAGUCGUCUCUUGCUAGUUUCAGAAGAUAAAUAUAUUGAACAAUUUGACAUUCAUGUUGUUGCAGAAGAGGAACACAAAGUGCUGAUUCAAAAGUCAGGUCAGCUUCCAAGAGCCAAAGUUGUAGAUGACCUCGUUUGGGCACAGUGGGAUAUGAUGGAGCAAAGACUCUUCUACAUUGUUCCAAAGGAAUCAAAGAGUACUUUAAGGUGUGUCCAGUUUUAUCCUGAGGAAAAUUUUAGUUCAAUAGUAAGUUCUGAGUAUUUUAAUAUAAAUGGUUUACAGUGGGAUGUAAUUAUGUUUUCCAGGUACUGGUACAGAGGUCUUUUUCGUUGUUGAAACUUUUUCAGAGGAAAACUGGAGUUUUUUGGGGUUUUUUUUUGCAUUAUUUUCUUGUCAAGAAUAUAUUCAGUGAGACUCAGAUUUUUCCCCACAGUAAGGUAACUUUAUUGGAAUUACACUUUUUUUGACCUGGAAGGCAUUAAGUGACAUUCAUGACACUGUGCUGAACUUAUACUCACUUAUUGAAAAAGCAGGCUUAGCAAGUGCACUCGUCAAAGAAACCAUGUUAUUUUCUGUCGGUUUUAAGUGAGACAGGAACAUUCGUUGCAGCCAAAAUACAAAAACCAGAACAUAAAAAUUACAACGUGAUUGUUACUAGACCUUUGUUCCAGUGGCUUUUAUUUUCUCUUAAAAAAAAAUAUCUGUUUUAUGGAGGAUUUUGACAUGACUAUAAGGGUUAGAGGAGGAUAAAUAAACCUGUUAAAAUAUUGAACUUGGUGAAAUGUAACUAUGACACAUUUUACUGGUCUGAAAUACUAAACAUAGUAUAUUGACCUCUGUAAAGAACAGGUUUGUUUUCCUUUUUGUUUAACAGCUGGAAUCACAUCUGGAUAUUGCUGUAAAUGACACACAAUUAAAGUAAGUUGUUUGUUUCUUUAAUGUUUUGGUUUGCUUUCCUUUCAAUAUACAUGGUGACAUUUUACAAACCUGAGUAAAAUUUGUCCAAACCACAAUAUCUUUGUUUGCAGUUGCCUACAUGGCACUGGAACAUGAGAAUAAUAGGAAAACUGUGUCCAGACCUCCAGUUCUUAUUCUCAUCAGGGUCAACUGUAAAAAGUAAUUUAAUCCUUGGCUGUUUCUUAGUACCACUUAAAAAAAUUAUUUGUCUGAAGAGCUAGCUAGGGCUUAAACCUUCUGAGUAUGCUGAACCUAUUUAAAUUAAUUUGCUUUAACCUAGGGCAGGUUUUAAUGGUGAUGUUAAAAUAUCUGUUAAGGGAAGCUCUGCAUUUUUAAUUGCUGUUGCAAGUUUUAUUGGGCAGUUAAGCAAACCAGUAGCACCUUUUUAUGGCCUGUGAAGACACUGCCUGUACUCUGUUCUCCUCCAGCAUGCUCUAUCCAGCAGCCUGCACUUCCAAAGAUGAAGAUUUGUCUGAUUCUGUAUCUGCCAUGCACAUGACUGCAUCUGAGCUUGUCUCCUGAGGGCUCC